Molecule: long non-coding RNA, 536 nt
Organism: Daphnia carinata
Lineage: Eukaryota; Metazoa; Arthropoda; Branchiopoda; Diplostraca; Daphniidae
Exons: 3
Source: RefSeq, a predicted model, not a curated record
GCGACUGUAUACGUGGCCUGUUAAAAUGCUGUACUCAGAUUCACUAUAUAAAGCCAUAGUUGUUGCACUGAAAAAGCAUCACUGUCAGUCAGACAAAUCUACAUCAACAAACCUUAAAAAAUGUUCCAGAAACUCUUCCUCUUUGCCUUUGUUUUGGCUAUGGUUGCCAUUGUUUACACUAACAGCCUACCUACCCCUGAGGAUGCUGGAGAGACUGAUCAGACCUUUUGCAAACCCUUUUCUUCCUGCUUCAACAGCACGGACUGUGCCAGCAACUUGAUUUACAAGACUUGCCGCAGCAACUUGUUCGGCAGCAAACAGUGCUGCCUGUAAACACUUGGUUUAUCGAACUAUUUAAAUUCCAGGCAUAAGGACGACCACUUGAUUGACACUUUAAACAUUUAUUUCGUCUUUUUCCUUUAAGUUUCCCCAUUUUCUAAAGUGUUUCACACACGUGGGGAUCCGUUACGUGCAAUUUGCUUCUGUUCGUCAGCAGUUUCAAAACGCUACUGGAAAUACAAUAAAGUAUUAGCAUC